RNAcentral lists this ribosomal RNA (497 nucleotides) under uncultured bacterium. Its description in RNAcentral is "partial 16S ribosomal RNA". It matches the Rfam family "Bacterial small subunit ribosomal RNA", at positions 28 to 507 of the family's 1533-position model. The record is from RNAcentral.
GAUGAACGCUGGCGGCGUGCUUAAUACAUGCAAGUCGAGCGAACAGACGAGGAGCUUGCUCCUCUGACGUGAGCGGCGGAGGGGUGAGUAACACGUGGAUAACCUACUUAUAUGACUGGGAUAAUCUCGGGAAAGCGGAGCUAAUACCGGAUAAUAUAUUGCACCGUAUGGUUGAAUAGUGAAAGACGGUGUUGGUGUCACGUAUAGAUGGAUCCGCGCCGGAUUAGCUAGUUGGUAAGGUAACGGCUUACCAAGGCAACGAUGCGUAUCCGAGCUGAGAGGCGGGUCGCCCACCCUGGAACGGAACCACGGUCCUUGCUCCUACGAUAGGCCGCAGUAGCCAACCUUCCGCAAUGGUCGGAAGCCUGACAGAGCGACGCCGCGUGUGUUAUAACAAUCUUCGGAUCGUGAAGCUCUCUUAUUAGUGGAAAACAGAUGUGUAAGUAACUGUACACGUCUUGACGGUACCUGGUCAGAAAGCCACGGCUAACUACGUG